This 466-nucleotide ribosomal RNA is filed under the name uncultured bacterium. RNAcentral describes it as "bacterial SSU rRNA". It matches the Rfam family "Bacterial small subunit ribosomal RNA", at positions 338 to 795 of the family's 1533-position model. The record is from RNAcentral.
CCUACGGGUCGCAGCAGUGGGGAAUAUUGCACAAUGGGCGCAAGCCUGAUGCAGCCAUGCCGCGUGUAUGAAGAAGGCCUUCGGGUUGUAAAGUACUUUCGGCGGGGAGGAAGGCGAUAAGGUUGGUAACCUUGUCGAUUGACGUUACCCGCAGAAGAAGCACCGGCUAACUCCGAGCCAGCAGUCGCGGUAAUACGGAGGGUGCAAGCGUUAAUCGGAAUUACUGGGCGUAAAGCGCACGCAGGCGGUCUGUCAAGUCGGAUGUGAAAUCCCCGGGCUCAACCUGGGAACUGCAUUCGAAACUGGCAGGCUAGAGUCUUGUAGAGGGGGGGUAGAAUUCCAGGUGUAGCGGUGAAAUGCGUAGAGAUCUGGAGGAAUACCGGUGGCGAAGGCGGCCCCCUGGACAAAGACUGACGCUCAGGUGCGAAAGCGUGGGGAGCAAACAGGAUUAGAUACCCGGGUAGUC